AAAACGUAAGUAAAAAAUAUUUUUUUCAACCCUUUUGCGAAGCUAUCGUGCACUCGAACAAUAUAAAUUUUUUCCAGCACGUGUCUAAUGGGAAUGAGGUUUUAGCGUGCUGACAUGUUCAAGCAAAGAGUAAGUAAAAGGACACAAAGUUUAUUUGUUUUCUUUUUGCAAAGAAACUUUUUUUAGAUGAUUAUUUUUUUAAGUUGCAGAAGUUAAGAUUACAGCUCAGUUAUACACGUGAUAUGACGUAUAAAGCUGUUAAUUGUGUCGCUGUAAUAAUAAGAAAUUCGUGCUUCCUCAUUGACCUCGUCGGUCAGUUAAGUUGAGUCACUGGGUUACUCGACUACCCACUGCUUAAUCACAAUGAACUUUUCCUCAAGCUCAAGCUCUGACCUACUUCACUCAUAAAUUCAUUUACAUAUCUAAUGUAUCAUAUUCUAUAAAUAUUUAUCAGAGGAUCGGAGAUAAAUAUUAUAAUAAUAUAAAGAAAAAAAAAAAAUAUUUAAUAACUCCGGGCAUGAAAUUAAAAAUUCGUGGAUGAGUUUAACGGUCAAGUGCAUGCGACCAGCUCAUUUAUUUUUCUGCUGACAUUUAAGGUUUUAGAUGAUAAUAAUAUUUAAACGGUUAAAUUUUUAAUAAAUUAUUACAACUAGUAACUAGUCUAAAAAUAUUUCCUGCAAUAUGAGUGAUGAUUACUAUGUUAAUAAUGCAUAAAUUAUCUUCCGUGUCAUAAUCGUUUCAUUAAAAAUUCUGAAAAGUAUAAUUCAGUAUGAAAUCAUUUAAUUAAUCUUGCAGUUGCAUGCUCCUUCUUAAAUGAUGAAAUAAUUUAAUUUUUAAGCUCGAAGAUUUUUAAGCGUACGACCAAUGAAUGUCUAAUUUUAAAACUGUCUGAGUUUAACAGCCGCGGAAAGUUUUGGAGUUAGCUGGCAGAGUUGACCACUUCCGUCAAUUUUAGAUGACAUCAUAAAAAUAUAUCUCGGUAGACUUUUUGUUGGUAGAAUUGUCGUUGAGUAGGUUUAUCACCAUAAUAAAAGUGUGAAUUCGCCUUACCAUUAAUCUACGUCUAAAACUAAAAAAAAAAUGUCAGUAAAAUAUCAAAUUUUUAUAAUUAUUGCGCUUUUAAUUUGUGCUAUUCAUUCAAUUGAUAUUAAAGGAUGCAUCUUACCGUACCAACAGUGUAACUUAUAUGUAAGAGGAUCUUGCUGCGGUGGUUGGACUUGUAAAUGGCACUUCGGGGAUGUGUUGACUGGCAAGUGUGAGCCCUAAACCUCCAAAUGAAAUAUUUAUUUCUCCAUGAAUAAUAAAACAUAUAAUCAAAAAAUAAAGAUUGUAAUUAAAAUUUGUAGUCAUGAACAAUAAAAGAAUAGAAGCUUUAGAUUGAAAGAAUAGAAAAA
Long non-coding RNA from Cotesia glomerata, 1394 nucleotides. RefSeq lists it as uncharacterized. Lineage: Eukaryota; Metazoa; Arthropoda; Insecta; Hymenoptera; Braconidae. The transcript is spliced from 2 exons. The record is from RefSeq and is a predicted model, not a curated record.